Pelobates cultripes (western spadefoot toad) is the source of this 273-nucleotide non-coding RNA. Lineage: Eukaryota; Metazoa; Chordata; Amphibia; Anura; Pelobatidae. The record is from the annotation of a GenBank genome assembly.
CCUCAAUUUAAUAAGCUUUCCAAAUGAUUUAUCUACAGAAAUUCCCAUCGACUUUAAUAGCGAGGAAUGUUUAAAACGGUGAAAAUCAAGUCUUUGCUACUAUCUUCAUCUCACAUUACUUUUUGCCUACUAUGUAUAUAUUACAGUGGUUGGUAGCAUGUCUCAACUGCGGGGAAGCCCUGUCAGCCUAUCAGAUAAUAGAGGCUGUAAAUGCUGAUAACCAUUGGAAUUGUAGGGAGUGACUGACUGCUCUCUGAUUGGUCUGUCUCCCAG